This 70-nucleotide transfer RNA is filed under the name Cavia porcellus (domestic guinea pig). It matches the Rfam family "tRNA". From Rfam's summary of the family: Transfer RNA (tRNA) molecules are approximately 80 nucleotides in length. Their secondary structure includes four short double-helical elements and three loops (D, anti-codon, and T loops). The record is from Rfam by way of RNAcentral. Lineage: Eukaryota; Metazoa; Chordata; Mammalia; Rodentia; Caviidae.
GGAGAUUUAGCUUAGCGGCAUAAGCGCCUGCCUUGCAAGCAGGCAGUUGUAGGUUUGAUUCCUGGUACCG